CAAAAACUGUAUUUGCAAAAAAGUAAAAUUUGCAGAGUAAAAUCUAUGUUUUUACAACACCAGUGACAUUUACAAAAACGGUGCAGGUAGUCGCUCGCAUGUCUGACAAAACAACACAUCAACAAAAUCAGAUAUUCAACAAGUCAGUGGAAAUCUGAACAGGCCGUUUGUUGUAUUCCAGUCAGUUACUCGUUCGCUGUGGAAACCAGAGGAAGGUCCUGCAGGAGUUUUCCCAAGAAGCAGGAAAACUUUUAAAAACGAUGCCUCAAAGAAAGGCACUGAACCCUGAACCCUGUUAACAAAAUGAUCCACAGGACGCCUCUGACAGAUCUGUAGGAAAAUUGAAAGUUAGCAGCCCUGCUUCCUGAAAAAAAAUCCUUUUGGACCGGACCUCUUCCCUGGCCCCAUCAAUCAAUCAGAUGUCUGUGAGGAAUGUCAGUGAGAGCUGUCAUUUUAAGCAUGUUUAAAUGAUGAAGACCCCUCAGAUAUGUGAGAUGAGAAGAGGAUAAAGCAUCAUGGAAGUGUCUUUCUCCCCCAUCACCAGCGGUCCAAGCGUCAGAGUCAGUUAGUUGUCUGUCAAGUAGUGGCUGUAAAUGUUAAGGCAUGAAAUUGCGACGUGUCUGCACACACAGCAGUACAAUCUGGUCCACGGACACGUAGUUACGGCUACUUAAGCAACAUCUGGCACACCAGAUGAACAAGAUUCACAUUGAUAAAGGACAGCUGAUCAAACGGGGGUGAUACAAAAAACAGAGCGUCUUUACAACAUGACAAAAAACUGUCACCAGACUAAAAGGGACUCGAUCUGACCCGGGAUCAGGGCCGCUGUUUGGGACAAUUAAAAAAACAAAACAAAAACUCCACACACAACAGAAAGAAAAACUUAAAAACAGCUAUGAACAGACUCCUGCGCACUAACAUCCAAAAACAUAUUUAAUUUACUUGCAAUGUUUCAUAUUAGACCUUCAUCGUGGACAUGUUUCUGUUCGACUCACGAACCAGACGUUUCUACUGCAAGAAAAACACGUGAAACGUUUGCAGAACAAAGUUAAAAAUUACGAGACUGAAGCCGUUGGUCUCGUGCGUGCCAGUUUCUCUGUGCAUCGCAGUUUUGAGGGCAGUGAAGUGACCGAUUAAACCAGAAAGCACGAACUAAAGCAAAUCUAGGUUAAGGUGUCAGUGAGCCACAAAAUUCAAACCUCUCACAGGUGACCUGAACACGUUCUGCUCCUGGCAGCGCUCCCCGACAGCUGCCGUCUCUCACAGCUGGACACAGACUUCUUGUUGAGCUGAAGAAUUUCUUUUGGUUGUGUUAAACAAACACGUUUCUCAGUGUUGGGAGAAUCUUGUUCUUGCAUCAAUUCAUUUAAUCAAUAUUUUUAAAUUAAUAUUUACAUUUAAUCUUCUUCAAUACAGUUUGAUGCUGAUGUCGCCUCCUGCACUCGCUGGAAUGAGUGCACGUGUGGAGCAGCGACUCAUCCAUGAAACGAGAGCGAUUCUGACUGCUGCUAUUGUUUUUCAGUUUUUUAUCAUUGAUGAAAGUGUGUGAAAGGCACGAUGAAGCGUGGAGGACAGGCAGGUGAGACAUUUUACACAGAAAAACAGACUGGAGGAGUUAAGGAGAAGGAGAAAUGAGGGCAGAAGCUACGACCGUGUGCAGCUUUUGUGGUUCAGCGGAUCCACGCUUGGUCAUGGGUUUUGGCUGAACAGGUGAACGAGGCUCUCCUGCUGGGGAAGCCUCCUGGAUGUCCUCCCCUGUCUCUAUGUGGAAGAUGAUAGCCUACACUGUUCUUCCAGAGAAACCCUAGGAGGCAUUGGAAGAGCAAGCAAACAGCCAGGGUUUAAACCCAUGACCUUCUGAUGUGUUAAAAGCUGAGCCGGCCCGGUGCCUGAUCCACAGAGACCCCAAAGAACUGCUGCCAGACAUGCAGUCCUACUCUAAAUCGUAUAAAAGGUUCUAUUUCCACUGGCUAUCUGAAGAAAAAGCCUCCUGCCCAGACAGACCAGAGCUGCCCAGGAUGAGGGACGAGGUUUAAGUGGUUUUAAUGUUGGGGCUGAUGUGGCUUCAAAACAAACAAUUAAGAGUUGGACUCUUAUUCUGCUUUUCCAGUGCCCCCAGUAUGAUCCAGUCAUUUUAACCAGCAACUUAUAACAGAUUAACAAAGUUCAGCAGGAAACACAGCCAAUAAAAACCCAACAAGAAUCAGCGGCAUUAGCAGGAGGCCAGUCUUCGUGUUAAUCAGUGUGAAAACGUGCAGUUUAAAGCUGAAUUUAGAGGCUGAUCUGGGAUCGAUACACAAAACAGAGAACAGCAAAGUUCAGAGUGUUUCAAUCACUAAAUAAAGAUUGUCAUCCAGUCCGGCAUUUCAUUCCUCUUUUGCGCACGGUGACUCAUUACCAGCCUGCUCCACUUUUCACCACAGAACAUCCAGAUGAUAAUUUACAGCCUGGGAAGCUGCCAAGAAGACAAAGUACAAAACGCCUGCGAGACGUUUCAACUGAGCGGAUGCUUCUGAAGAGGAAGGAAAAAAAAAAAAAAAAAAAAAAAAAAAGAGCGGCAGGGACGAGGUUUACAAUUAACCUACGUUCAUCCUGUGGUGGCACAAAAACAUGCAGAUUGAAACCCGGGCAUGGAAAAUAUCGUAACGCACGUUUUCAUGGGGUGGAAAUUAUUCUUUUUCCGCCUCCACUUUUAUGAAAAACUGCAGGAAGGCAUGGGCACAUCAGUGCUGAGCGCCUGAAGCUAAAAAUUCAACACAUUAUUAUAUGAUCAGAGGUUAAAGCGGCUGAAAGAAAGCUUUUCCCCGAGGUUAAGGUGCCGCCUAACGGAGUCUGCAUCUUCAAUGUAACCACAGAAGAAAAACCGUGAAACUGUGCGGGGUGAUGCUGCUCUCACUGAGAAAUCCUUCAGCCUGCAUCAUGAAAGCAGGGUCGGUUCUGCUUUCCUUAUAUACUACCACAUCUGUGCUGUCAGGGCAGUGGAUGUUAAACCUGCAGAAAUUCCAGGUUUUAGCCUGUGCCAAAGAAAACCAGGGUAUCAUUAACACAGGCGUACGGUUUUUGUUUAUGAAAUGGUCUUAAGUAAGCUGAAAUCACACAUUUCUACCAGUGAAGGUAACGCAGACCCUGCUGACAUGUUCUCACGUGCGUAAACGCUCGUUUUAAGACUGGAAAAAUCCCUGAAAACAAGGCCAAAGUUUCAAAUAUCGAGCAGCUGCUUCCAAACACGUUUUGGCCUCCAACCAAAGGAAAAUCACCAGGGUUGUAUAAGCUGUUGUUUUUGUUUGUUUUUUUUAAAGCUGGGGUUUGUUAAAGAUUAGAGGACCUCAUUAAGGAGUUGGACACGUCAGCAUCAGUGCGGAGGCUCUACUGGUCUGCCGCCUGGACACCAGGAGCAGGUUGUCUUCUUUUAUUGUUGUUAUUGGCAAACAGAAUAAAGGCUCACUGAUGUCACAUCUGAUAAAAACCACAGAAGCAAUCCAGUGUCAAAAACAAAGCUUUACACCUGCGUUCUUCUAAAUGUCCAAAAGGGGGCAGCUACUCUGUAUAGAGGUCUUUUUUGUAAAGAUUUCAUUUUUAGAGUCAGAUGCCGAUUAUCCAGUUUAUGCACAGUCAGACAUCUUUUAUAUACAGUCUAUCGCUAAAAAAAAGGGAAGGCGUGAAUAAUUUAAAACUAUUUUUUCACUGAGCAGUCAAAUAGUCAUCCAAACUGUCACAUCUGUUCCCCGUUUCUCACCCUAUUAAAGUGGGACAGCCUCGAACACUGAGCUGGAUAGUGAAUGAAAUGAUUGGUUAAAAAAUUAUUCUUAAUCAGAAGUUAGCUCCACCCCCUGUAACCCAACUAAAACAGCUCUUCUCAGAUGGAGGAUGAACUGCACCCUGUGUUAUUUUGGACUUGCAAAAUACUCCAGCAGUCCUGCGCAGCUGGAAAAGAGGGUGUCAUUUUAACCAUCUUCAAACCGCAGCUAGCUGUGCUUUGCAGAAAUGAUAAACAAUGUUAGGAAACAAUGAGCUUGAACUAAAACCUACUUCCUGCUUCGACGUGCUUCUACUCUGUGCUGCUGCUCUUUGUACAAAGCUUCAAAUAUGUCAGUUAGACAGCUGCUGCGUCAGCAUGGUUAACAAUACAUUUAUGUCAAGUACAGUAAAUGUGCUAAAGGCCACCCAAUCAUACACCUCCAGGAGUGUUUCCAAAAAGCAGAAGGCACCUGUAAGUGUGCUACAUGUUUCCCUGUGUCCAUCGAUUGGAAGUAUUCUGGGUUGGCAGUUUAUAAAAAGCCACCUGACCGAGUUCUGGUCGGAUGUGGAGGCUGAACUGGAAGACAAAGAAGGAAUGGAAACAGGCUGAGAUAGGAAUGCGUCUGCAGGUUGUUUAUCUCCGUCUCCCUGCAGGGCGCUGGAACACAGCAGAAGCAGCUUUCCUUCCAUCGUUCUAAGAACGACUGCUCACAGUCACACACUGCACAGAUCUCAGAUGGGUAGUUAAGUCUGAAAAUGUCAGCCUGACCCCCUCAGAAUCAGCUGACUGCUUUUUUUUUUUACACCAACUUCAGUUUAUGGAAUGAAGCUGUGCAACAUUUUACCUUCAUACUUUCAGAGUUACAGCCCCUAACAGAGGCUUGCUCUUCAUUAAAAGUGCAAAGUUUUGUACUCUUGAUGGUCUGCGACGAAAAAGCU
Molecule: long non-coding RNA, 4677 nt
Organism: Astatotilapia calliptera (eastern happy)
Lineage: Eukaryota; Metazoa; Chordata; Actinopteri; Cichliformes; Cichlidae
Source: Ensembl